RNAcentral lists this long non-coding RNA (1236 nucleotides) under Cyanistes caeruleus (blue tit). Its description in RNAcentral is "lncRNA (ENSCCEG00000018774.1)". Lineage: Eukaryota; Metazoa; Chordata; Aves; Passeriformes; Paridae. The record is from RNAcentral.
GGAGAUGCACUGUGACCUCCUUGUGGAAGCUGUUCUUUGCUUGUUGUGGGUUUCAGACAUUUCAUCUCCCUGGGGAUCACAGCAACCAGGGCUGUGCUGAGUCCUGGCUCUUUCUCGAGGUGGCUGUGCAGGUGAAUGCUCUUGUGUUUAAUUGACAUCCUAUUUAUUGUUGAAGUGUUGCCCUUUUUGUGUUUUUUCUUCCCUUCUCUGUCCAGGAAGGAAGAUUUGGUUCAGCAAUCGGUCACAAGAGAUAAGCAAACAAGCUGAGAACACUUGCUCUGGAGCAUGUUUGAGAUCAGGCAGCUCUUCCUGACCCCUGUCUUGCCUCUCUCCUUCCCAGCAGCUCUCCCUGACUGCAUCAGGAAACUUCAUGGAGCCUUCUUGGAGGUGGAUUUUCCCAGGGAGUCAUCAGUGCUGCUGCCUGAUUUGUCAUUUUGUGCAGUGGAUAAAAGCAAUUUCAUGUUCGACUCUGAAACCCCUUGUUCACUUUAUGAAUAACUCCUGUGGCAUGGGUGGACCCUGGUCUGGACAUUUCUGCCACGUGUCCCAAACCCACCUUGCUUUUAUUAAAAGCCCACCUCUCACAAGUCAGGCCCUUGGAUGCCUCAUGCUCAGGCUAUAUUCCGCUCCUUCUGGAUCUACAUCUCUUCUUGGCAUCAAGAAGUACCUGAGAGGAAGGAAACAUAAAACAAAAUUUAAUCCUGUCAUUCUUUCUGCACAAAUGUGCCUGGUUUAUAUUCCUGGGGCAGCUCUUGCUAGAAAACACUGCAGAGUUUGCUGGUAGGAAAGGCAGAAGCCGUUCACCUUAGAGAAAACAGUCAUUCUCCAUGGCGAGGGAGCAGGAGAAGGAAAUUCAGACCCCCUUGGUCCCCUCAGCCCUGGAAACAGGGGUGGCACAGGCUGGGAGGGUUCAUGGCUCUCUAUUUGACCAAAAAUUCGGGCUUUGAGGCAAACUUUGGAGGUAGGGCUGAUGCUUUCACCAUGCCAAGGAUUGUUUUUCACAUCAGAGACCGGUAGAGCUCAUUAAUUCUCCAUGGUGGAUAUUUCCCCUGAUAUUCCACUUGAAUUCUCCAUCACUCAUUUUAAUUUUAUAUUUAAUAUUAUUAUUCCUGUUUGCACACUAAACAACCCUUCCUCCCUGCUGGUUGAUGUCCUCAUUGCGUUCCCUUUCUGCAAGGGAGAGCAAGAUCUUAUCCUUAAAAUAAACUCAGUGCUGGAGACUUUGGAGCCCUGCUU